UUGAAAAAUGAAGCGCCAGAACCGCAGAUAGGGCGGUUGACGAGGUAGAAGUGAUCGAAUUUUUCGGCGGAUGCUUCUCGCCCAUUCGUUCAGGGACGCAGGUCUUUCUACAAAUAGGAGAAGGUAAUUCUUCUGACAAAGGGAAAGGCAACGGACGAA
RNAcentral lists this non-coding RNA (159 nucleotides) under Anaerotignum neopropionicum. Its description in RNAcentral is "Clostridium neopropionicum GlcN6P sequence". It matches the Rfam family "glmS glucosamine-6-phosphate activated ribozyme aptamer". From Rfam's summary of the family: This entry contains a glucosamine-6-phosphate activated ribozyme that is found in the mRNA for GlmS. GlmS is an enzyme that uses fructose-6-phosphate and glutamine to generate glucosamine-6-phosphate. Lineage: Bacteria; Bacillati; Bacillota; Clostridia; Lachnospirales; Anaerotignaceae. The record is from Rfam by way of RNAcentral.